UACGUAGGUGGCAAGCGUUGUCCGGAUUUACUGGGCGUAAAGAGCGCGCAGGCGGCUGGUCAAGUCCGAUGUGAAAUCUCCCGGCUUAACUGGGAAACUGCAUCGGAAACUGAUCGGCUUGAAGGUGGGAGAGGGUAGUGGAAUUCCCGGUGUAGUGGUGAAAUGCGUAGAGAUGUGGAGGAACACUAAUGGCGAAGGCAGCCUUCUGGGCCAACACUGACGCUCAUGCACGAAAGCGUGGGGAGCAAACAGG
RNAcentral lists this ribosomal RNA (253 nucleotides) under uncultured bacterium. RNAcentral's name for it is "partial 16S ribosomal RNA". It matches the Rfam family "Bacterial small subunit ribosomal RNA", at positions 524 to 776 of the family's 1533-position model. The record is from RNAcentral.